RNA transcript from Gadus chalcogrammus (walleye pollock), 4333 nucleotides. It is a transcript of the gene named tyrosine-protein kinase ABL2-like, with no coding region annotated. The record is from RefSeq and is a predicted model, not a curated record. NCBI's taxonomy places the organism in Eukaryota, Metazoa, Chordata, Actinopteri, Gadiformes, Gadidae. The transcript has 16 exons.
GUUGAGUCUUUUAAAAUGUCUGUUCGACCACACCAUAGCCAGUUUUAACAUGCAUUUGUUACCUAUUUAAAAUGAAAAGAAUACUUAAAACAAUCUCGUGAAGCUAUUUCCUUGUUGCGGUUGGCAAGGUGUUGCUUUCGUCAUAGCCCAGUCUCGAGGUAUGAUGUUAUGCGUUUCAUGGAGAGGGUGUGCCUCGUCCCUGUUUGGAAAUAGCAGGUGGUUAAGAGGGGCAUGUCAGAAUAUCAUUCCUGGGACGUCAUAUCAUGGUCCUUCGACGUCAUGAGACAUUAUUUACCUGUGUUUCCUAGCUGCUUCUGGCCCCGCCAUCUCCUCAUGCACACACCCCCACACAAUCCAAAUCCCUCCCCCCCCACAGUGGCUACCUGCUUGGGCUCCGCACGCCGUGUUAGAUCAGUGUGCGUGUCUUGUAUAUAGCAGGACUCCAGUGGUUGUUCAUAGAGUCAGAUAGAUGAUGUUAUUUUUAUUUUUUUGUUGCCUAGUGGUGAGCAGCAGCUUUGAGGACCAGUUGACCAGUCUAAAUGGAUCGGGCCCCCUAGAUUUGGCCCAGGCCAAUGGGCCCCAGGAGACAGAAGCCCUGCACCGGCCCUUCGGCCUGGACUCGGCCGCGCUGACGGAGACGGUCGAGAGCGAACCCAACCUCUUCGUGGCGCUCUAUGACUUUGUGGCCAGAGACGAUAACAUGCUCAGCAUCACCAAAGGCGAGAAGCUGCUGGGCUACAACUAUGGCGAGUGGAGCGUGGUGCUCUCCAAGAACGGCGAGGGCUGGGUGCCGUCCAACUACAUCACGCCCGUCAACAGCCUGGAGAAGCACAGCUGGUACCGCAGCCCCGUGUCGCGCAGCGCCGCCAUGUACCUGCUCGGCCUGGACUCGGCCGCGCAGACGGAGGCGGUACGCUGGCGCUACAAGAAGAACCUCCGGGGGACGGCGGAGAGCGACCCCAAACUCUUCGUGGCGCUCUAUGACUAUGUGGCCGAAGACGAUGACGAGCUCAGCAUCACCAAAGGCGAGAAGCUGCUGGGCUACAACUAUGGCGAGUGGAGCGUGGUGCUCUCCAAGAACGGCCAGGGCUUGGUGCCGUCCAACUACAUCAUGCCCGUCAGCCUGGAGAAGCACAGCUGGUACCACGGGCCCGUGUCGCGCAACGCCGUCAUGUACCUGCUCAGCCUGGACUCGGCCGCGCAGACAGAGGACCUGGUGGGGACGGCGGAGAGCGACCCCAACCUCUUCGUGGCGCUCUAUGACCUCGGGUUCUCCGGCGAUGGCACAAUCGUCAUCAAAGGCGAGAAGCUGCGGGUGCUGGGCUACGACAAUGGCGAGUUGAGCGAAGUGCGCUCCAAGAACGGCCAGGGCUUGGUGCCGUCCAACUACAUCUGGCCCGUCAACAGCCUGGAGAAGCACAGCUUGUACCGCAGCCCCGGGCGCUACUCCGCCGAGUACCUAUUCGGCCUGGUCUCGGCCGCGCUGACGGAGGCGGUACGCUGGAGCUCUGAGGAGAACCCUCACGGGGAGUCGGAGAGCGACCCCAACCUCUUCAUGGCGCUCUAUGACUAUGUGGCCGAAGACGAUGACGAGCUCAGCAUCACCAAAGGCGAGGAGCUGCGGGUGGUGGGCUACAGCAAGUGGAGCCAGGUGCGCUCUGAGAAUGGCCAGGGCUGGGUGCCGUCCAACUACAUCAUGCCCGUCAGCCUGGAGAAGCACAGCUGGUACCACGGGCCCGUGUUGCGCAGCUCCGCCAAGUACCUGCUCAGCUCGCUCAUCGACGGCAGCUUCCUGGUGUGGGAGAGCGAGAGCAGCCCCGGGCAGCUGUCCAUCUCGCUGUGCUACGAGGGCCGUGUGUACCACUACCGCAUCAACACGUCCUCCGACGGAAAGGUGUACGUGACGGCGGAGAGCCGCUUCGCCACGCUGGUGCAGCUGGUCCACCACCACUCCACGGUGGCGGACGGCCUGGUCACCACGCUGCACUACCCGACGCCCAAGUGCAACAAGCCCACCGUGUACGGCGUGUCGCCCAUCCACGACAAGUGGGAGAUGGAGCGCACCGACAUCACCAUGAAGAAAAAGCUGGGCGGCGGGCAGUACGGCGAGGUCUACAUGGGCGUCUGGAUCAAACGUUGGCGUCUGGUCGCGGUCAAAAAGAUCAAGGAGGACACCAUGGAGGUUGAAGAGUUACUGAAGGAGGCGGCGUUGAUGAAAGAAGUCAAACACCCCAACCUGGUCCAACUUCUAGGCGUGUGCACCCUGGAGACUCCCUUCUCCAUCGUGAUGGAGUACAUGCCCAACGGCAACCUGCUGGACUACCUGAGGGAGUGCGACCGUGAGGAGACGAACGCUGUGGUGCUGCUCUACAUGGCCACGCAGAUCUCCUCCGCCAUGGAGUACCUGGAGAAGAAGAACUUCAUACACGGGGACCUGGCUGCCAGGAACUGCCUGGUGGGGGAGAACCACGUGGUGAAGGUGGCGGACUUCGGCCUGAGCCGGCUGAUGACCGGGGACACCUACACGGCCCACGCCGGCGCCAAGUUCCCCAUCAAUUGGAGCGCGCCCGAGGGCCUGGAAAACAGCACCUUCUCCAUCAAGUCUGACGUGUGGGCGUUCGGGGUGCUGCUCUGGGAGAUCACAACCUACGGCAAGUCUCCGUACCCCGGGAUGGACCGGUCCCAGGUGUACGACCUGCUGGAGAAAGGCUAUCGCAUGAAGCAGCCUGAGGGCUGCCCCCCUAAAGUCUACGAGCUCAUGUGGGCCUGCUGGCAGUGGAACCCGUUGGAACGGCCUUCGUUUGCUGAGAUCCAUCAGGCCUUUGAGACCAUGUACCAUGAUUGCCGCAUAUCUGAAGGUGUGGUCUCUCCACCGUGCUCGGGGUGGACGUCCGGUCGGGCUGCUCCCCGGCUCUCCCCCGCAAACAGCAGCCCCGGGACAAGUCUAGCGAGCAAGCCAAGACGAAUGACAAUAUAUUAUGUAUCUAUAUGGGGACCAUCGUUUCAGUAAGUAUUUGGGUUUACCUCUAGUGUUUAAUCAAUCAGUGUUUUGGCCAACAGUGCUUUCAUGCCAUUGUUACCUGAAUCUGGUGGAUUUUAAUCGGCAAUCGCAGUCUAGAAAUCAUCCAAUAGUUGGAUCUAUCUUUCCAAUGUGCUAUUUCUAGAUGCGUUUCCAAACUGGGGAAGAUUAUAGGAGAAUCGAUUGGGACACAGGGGUCAAUUGAAGAGUUUGAGUUAAAUGUUCUGUUUAAUUAUCUAGGCUCAAAUAGAACAAUAAGCAUGAUGAAUAACACAUUCAUUAUAUUACUUAUAACCCUUUUUAAGAGAUUUAGUUGGGGAAAUAUGGUUGUCUUCAUUUUUAACCACAGCAAUUUGUUUUGGAUGUGACUUGACUAACUUCAGUUCUCACCACAGCACACACUACACAAGGGGGGGGGGGAUGAAACACACACACACACACACACACACACACACACACACACACACACACACACACACACACACACACACACACACACACACACACACACACACACACACACACACACACACACACACUGCAGAUGUGAAUCUAAACGGAUGAAAAUACAGCAGAGAUGUUAACAUAUUAACUCAUUCUAUUGUACAAAAUAAAUUUUGUUUUUUAUUUAAUGCUCAUGUGUAUUACUGUGAAGUUCUCAUCAGUGUUAAACCUAUUGUAAAUAAUAAAGUCAUUGCCAAAUACCCUGUGGUUUUUGGAGUAUUAUUUUACUGUCCAUCAACCGUUACAUUUAUAGCCACACCUCUGUUGUGAAAUAUGUUCGAGGUAAAAGCGAAGUUCAUCCCACGGUUGCCAUUAUGAGAACCAUCUUUUCUCUUCAAAUAUGUAUGUGGAUUAAUAAAACAUCAGGGCAAUGUCCUGACUCCGGCGAUGGCCACCACUGGAUUGCUGUUUGGUUGGGUUGGAUGAUCGCGCGCCCCACACCAUAUCCGACUCCUCCCCGAGCGCAGUUCAGUGUAAAGAUGGCGUCCAUCAUGGAGGGGCCGCUGAGUAAGUGGACUAACGUCAUGAAAGGUUGCCAGUAUCGUUGGUUUGUGUUGGAUUACAAUGCCGGCUUGCUGUCAUACUACACGUCUAAGGACAAGAUGAUGCGAGGCUCAAGAAGAGGCUGUGUUCGUCUCAGGGGCGCUGUAAUCGGCAUUGAUGACGAGGACGACAGCACAUUCACCAUCACCGUGGACCAAAAGACUUUCCAUUUCCAAGGUCCAUCCUGACGGUGCCCUGGGUGGAGCUUGGCGGCAAGUGCAGCGUCGUCUGCUCCAAGUCGGGCUACAGCGCCAACAUCGUGUUCCA